Molecule: long non-coding RNA, 414 nt
Organism: Nilaparvata lugens (brown planthopper)
Lineage: Eukaryota; Metazoa; Arthropoda; Insecta; Hemiptera; Delphacidae
Exons: 3
Source: RefSeq, a predicted model, not a curated record
CAAGAGAAAUUGAAAAUGGAUUUACUACAGAAAGGCGUGAAAUUCGUUAUAAAUUUGAUGCGACAGUUCAAAGUUUUGUACUUUCCAGACCUGCACAACGAAUUACCUAUUUGAAAAAUAGAAUGUGGUUAAAAAUUGCUGAUGUGAUAGAGGAUUCAAGUACCAUUUACAAACAAAAUAUUGAAGAGAAUGUGCUCAAAGGAAAUGCAUAUGAAUUCUUUUCUGUUGACCAGGAUGGAAAAAUUCUUUGGAACCCAUAGAUAGGAUAAGUUAGUUAGGCCUAGUUGUGUACCAGCCAGAAGUAGAGGAUGACAAAGAAAAUCAACUAUGAAUAAUAUUCCAUGGAUAUAAUUCAUGUAUAAUGUAGUAGCCUACAGAAGAAAGAGAUGGACUAAUCUAAGAAAUAUAUUAAUU